RNAcentral lists this transfer RNA (65 nucleotides) under uncultured Erythrobacter sp. It matches the Rfam family "tRNA". From Rfam's summary of the family: Transfer RNA (tRNA) molecules are approximately 80 nucleotides in length. Their secondary structure includes four short double-helical elements and three loops (D, anti-codon, and T loops). Lineage: Bacteria; Pseudomonadati; Pseudomonadota; Alphaproteobacteria; Sphingomonadales; Erythrobacteraceae. The record is from RNAcentral.
GGUGUAGCCAAGUGGUAAGGCACUGGUUUUUGGUACCGGCAUGCGCAGGUUCGAAUCCUGCCACC